CAGAGAAAAGUCCUUAUUCUCCGCCUCUCUUCCUCUCUAGUUUCUCUCUCUUUCUCUUUCUCUUCCUCCCUCACCUCAAGCCACCACCACUACCAUCAUCACUUUCAUGGCCGAGACGGAAAAUCAGAGGCGAUGAUUAUGAACUUGAUAAACCAUACAACCUACCUGUCUCUAUCUACCUUUCUUUCUGUCUCUAUCUCUCUGAAUAUGUUGCUGCUGCUUCGACUUCAGAAAAAAAAAAGUAAAGUUCCCACAUAGGAACCAUUUUCUUCUCAUCCUUCUCACCCGUUGAUCCAACCAUAUACUCAACGAAAGUUUCUUGGAACUGAAUGAGAAAGACGGAUCUAGCUCAUAUGAAAUUGUCUUGGUGCUAAUCUGGCUACCCCAACUUAUAAAUCUGGAGACAAAGGGAAUGAAUCGGUUUUUAUACUUGUUUGGUACUGAGCAGCUUUGCAACUUAAGAAAAGUGGUAGACUGAAAAAGUGAUAGAUUGAAUGUGAAGGUGCUACUUUUUCUGAGGUGAUGUAGAAAUGAUUGAUAUCUUUGGGAGAAUUGUUAUCCGGCUUGCUAGAAGGCUUAACGAGUUUUUCAACCAGAUAAUGCCUAAAACUUGAAUCACCAAACAGCUUGGGAAAUGAAUCCCUAUUUUGUAUGAUUUUGAUGUAGUUCUGUUGUGUCGAAUUUUAUGUUUUGGAUCACCUCUGCAUGGUAGAUAUUAGGUGUCUUGUGUGUUUAAAACCGUUGGGAUUUAUGGAUGAUCAUUACCCUGUUCGUGGUGCUUUCUCCCUUCUUAAGAUCUCAUUCAUUUUUUGGUGGUCAAGUUAUGAAUGUUGCGUGGAAAAUGUGCAGGGCAUGUGUAGACACCCAUGUUCAUCGCUCCACAGCAGCAGGGUGGUGUCACCUCUAGAGCACAGAGUAAUGUCGGAAACUCUUCUCAGGUCUCACAAUUUGUUCAUCAGCAGGUCAAUCAACAUUUCCAGUCGACCCCUCUUCCAACCAAUGCUGCAGGACAGUUCUAUACACCAGGAUUUGAGCAACUCAAGCUUCCAGUCACCUGUUAUCAUGAACAAGUUGUCACAGAUUAUGGGUGAUUCAACUAAGUGACAUCCUGUCGGCAGAAUUUGGAGUAGCUCUUGCAGUGUGAGUGCACAAGAUUCUUUAGUAAACUAGACCUCAAGUAGGCAUGCAAAAGCAAGUGCAUAUGUUCUCCGAAACUUCGUUGGAGGAUUCCCUUCCUGCUCUUUUAUGCUAACGUGUCUACAUGUUCUGAUCACCAUGAAGUAAAGCCUGCAUAGUGUGAAUAAGUAUGUCACUUGGCUCUGUUAAGGCGCUGCCCUUUUAUCCAUCAGAUUUCCACUUGUCUGUUUGUGUUUGUUUGUGGAAAGUACUAUUACUGUUACUGGAUUGUGCAGAUCAGAAAGUUGUUGAGUUUUAAGUUGCAAGGGUGCAAGAUGAAUCUAAAGUGAUGACUGCAGAGAGUGGAACGUAACUUGGGAUGGCUCCUGAGGGUCAUAGAGCAAAGCCUUACGAUCACAAGGCGAACAUUUUCAGUUUCACAAUCGUGUUGUAGGAGAUGCUGACUAGAAAGUUCGAUACCUUCAUGGAUGCCGUCACUCUCUUCCCUAUGGUCUAAUGAGGGUUGAUGAUAUCAUGGUUGAUGGUGAAAUCGUUGUUGCUGUUGGAUAAGGGAAAUGUUGGAGAGGGUUGUGCUUCUACAGGAUAUUCUCUCAAGCAAGCUGGUGCCAAGGUCCUAAUGACUGAAAUUGUGGUUGAAAAUUUUAGGACUUGUUGUACCACUUCUCUUUAAGAAACCUUAACUAUAGGGAGUUGAAUCCUUUUUUUUUUAAUGAUUUUAGACUAAAUUUAUGAGCACAGUUCAAUGUAAUGGUGCUAUCAUUUGGUAUUAGAUGAUUCAAGUUUUAUUUGGAAUUUGAAUCUGAAUUUAAAUUGAAUUUUAGUAUUUUAAUAUUAUGUCACUUGAAUUUCACUUGAA
This is a long non-coding RNA of Papaver somniferum (opium poppy), 1993 nucleotides long. RefSeq lists it as uncharacterized. The record is from RefSeq and is a predicted model, not a curated record. The transcript has 8 exons. NCBI's taxonomy places the organism in Eukaryota, Viridiplantae, Streptophyta, Magnoliopsida, Ranunculales, Papaveraceae.